This 2273-nucleotide long non-coding RNA is filed under the name Triticum aestivum (bread wheat). RNAcentral's name for it is "long non-coding RNA (TAES_LNC021883)". The record is from RNAcentral. Lineage: Eukaryota; Viridiplantae; Streptophyta; Magnoliopsida; Poales; Poaceae.
AAAAAGAAAGAUCUCAUAUAUUAAAUAGAAUAGGUUGCAUUACAUGGACACAAUCCAAAGUAUAUAUACAUGAUUUAUAUACAUUGACCAUGACAAUGAAAUUAUAUAACAUUAGUGGAUAACUAUCUGCUACUAGCCCCAUUUUCCACCUUGCAAUCAACUUAGCCAUGCACCAUCCAUUCAUCUCGGCAAUCUAGAACAACAGCAAAAUGCUGACAUGAGUAAUAUAUCAUUAGAGAAAAAAAAAUGAAGUUAAUAGAGCAAUAUAAUCUAAAGAGAAGCAACAUACAAAGGUUGAAGCCCAUGAGAUAGCUAAUCCAACUGUAUGAUCAAUAAUUUUGACAUUUUUUAUUGCCGUAUCAACUAAACAUAUUUUUCCAAUGUGGAUCAUUACACAUUGCUGACAAUUCAUUUCCAAAGCUAACAACCUGAAUUUUAUAUGCUAGGUCGGUACUUACCUGUGUGGCAAUCAGAGUUCGUCUGGGCCAACAGGUACAUGGAUUUUGUUUAUACAUUUCCCAAAUUGCAAUGAUAAGCACAUCUCUGAAAAUCAAGAGUGCGGUGAGAAUACAAUCAAAUCAUGGUCAAUGGUUCCACCUUUAGUUAUUGAAGGCACACAAUUAGAAUAUAGAAUAUAAAAGAUCCCACUAAUAAAAAUAUACAAUAAAUAGGUUGUUUUGGCGCUAUUCUUGAAUUGCUGGUCAUGCAUGCCAAUAGAAUUAUCUAGCAACACGUGUACACUUCUUUUUACCAUUUAUUGUAUACACAUGUGCAGGGCAGAACAAAAUCUCACGAUAAUGUAAUAAAUACAGCAUGCUUGCAUAGAAAUUAUUUUGCUCCAUAGACCACUUCUAAAUUAUGCCCCAUAUUACUUAGUACAUCAGGAUGUUAUGUUUUAUACUGAAGCACAAAGAGAUAUCUAAAGAUAUACAUAGGUCAUAUCAUCGUUUGCACUGCUGGACAUCCAUACACAUAGUUUUAACAUUUUUUGUUAACUGAACAAAAAAGUCCAACAGUACUAACCCCUGCAAUACAUAUAUAGAUAGAGGGAGUCAAGAGUAGCUCUACCUGUAUUCUUUCUUGAGUGUCGGUCAAAAUUGGAGAUAUCAGAAAGAGGGUCUUGUCAGUGCUUUCCAGUUACGAGCCACCUAAGAAUUAGAUACGAACAAAUAUGUAGAAUAGAAGAUAAGUGGACAGUGGAUGUACCAGAGUGGUGUAUAUAGUUGGUUCAACAGUAGGACACCAAAGUGAUUAUGAGGAGAAGAAAUUGUCUUGGAUUCUGCACAACUUCCACGAGAAGGAUUCAGGCAAACUCUGCACUUCUAUGGAUAGAACCUCUGAAUAAGCCAGAACCCAUUGUUAACUUUCACGGCAGCAGAAUAAAAACACAAUCAAACUACAGCAACACAGGAAAACUACUAUCAGAUUUCUUGCAUGUGAUGAUUGAGAAUGUUUAUUAGUCCAUUUAUUCACAACUCACAAGCGGAUGUGCAUGACAUGAUCCUAGCUACUCCUAUUGACGCAUUAAGUAUGCAGAGCCCAUAGGCGAUGUCAUUUUUCCAUAUGUUUGAGCCUUUCAGUUUGUGAUCGGCAUAACACAGCUGACUUGCACUGCACAAGCACUACUAAAGUUUAAUGCAUACUUUUUAUUUAAUUCAAAAUGCAUUUCCUGUCAGUAGUUAAAAGCAGCUCCUAAUUUCGGAUAAAUUUCAUGUAAUUUGCUUUGUACCUAAUUCAGAGAAAUUGAUCAUAAAUGUAGUGCCAAACUGCCAUAUGGUGUUGUUUGCUGUGUUCCUACUUCAGAGGAUUUGAUAAUAUAAACAUUUGUUGGAAGCAUUUUUUUUCUAAAGGAUUUGUUGCAGGCAAACAACAGAAUGCUUUUAGCUUGUGAUUCACCAGAUGAAAAUCACAGGGCAAGCUAAAUCAGGUCCUUGAAGAGCUAAAAUGAACAGAGGUUCAGGAUUGUGGCACUCACCUUUUCCCUAUAAGAAGUGAACUUUUAAAAUUGUUCGUGAAUAAACCUCUGAAGAUGGACGACAGACCUCAAAUUUGAUUGUAUGAACUAUUAUUUCUCAAACCCGACUGCAUUUCAUUGUGGUGCUUCCCUCUCCUCAUACCUGAAGCAUACAAUCAAAUUCUAAUCACACAUUACUUGCAGAUUAACCAGAAAGCAACACACACUACUUGCAUAUCAAUCAGUACAGAAGAUGUACCAGGACUUUAACCAGGAAAGGAACCCACAAUUGCGACCGUGCUUCCCAGAGAUAAUCGAU